RNAcentral lists this long non-coding RNA (229 nucleotides) under Amborella trichopoda. Its description in RNAcentral is "long non-coding RNA (ATRI_LNC003079)". The record is from RNAcentral. Lineage: Eukaryota; Viridiplantae; Streptophyta; Magnoliopsida; Amborellales; Amborellaceae.
ACUAGUGUACGUUCAUUAUAAUUUAAACCUCUGAGAGCGACAAAUAAGAAGGAAGCUUGAAGACUAUGGGCCGAUAGACUUAGACACAAUAUUUGUCACAGACACAACAGACCAAUGGGUAGUAGAAGAGGAGGAGCCAGUAUUGCACAAGAGAGCGUUCCUUGAGGCUAUCGGUGAGGAAGAUCUUGAAGAAGGUGAUGAGCAGCAUGAAAGAGGAAGCAGCCAGCCA